CCAACCUCUUCUUUUACCGCCAACCGCCAACUGGCCCCGCCAACUGCUGCUGCUGGAAGGGAAAAGAGGGGGAGGCGACAAACCUGCAGCCUCUUUUCUUCCUCCGCCGCUCGUCCUCGUCCUUCCUCUCUUCUAAGUUAGAGCUUCCGGAUGGCGCCUCCUCGAUGUCUCUCCCACGGAUCCAGCUCCGUCCUACCAACUGAUAAGCCGCUGCUAGCCCCACGAAGCCAUAUCAGACAGAGAUCCAGAGGUCACAUUCCUAGCCAGCUGGGAGCCUAGCAAUCCCCAUCAAUUGCUGAGGAGAACGGCAGCUUU
RNAcentral lists this small RNA (315 nucleotides) under Histoplasma capsulatum var. duboisii H88. Its description in RNAcentral is "Histoplasma capsulatum H88 hypothetical RNA". Lineage: Eukaryota; Fungi; Ascomycota; Eurotiomycetes; Onygenales; Ajellomycetaceae. The record is from RNAcentral.